Molecule: ribosomal RNA, 230 nt
Filed under: uncultured bacterium
Lineage: Bacteria
Description: partial 16S ribosomal RNA
Rfam family: Bacterial small subunit ribosomal RNA
Source: RNAcentral
UGAGUAACCUGCCCUUAACUCUGGGAUAAACCUGGGAAACUGGGUCUAAUACCGGAUAUGACUCCUCAUCGCAUGUGGGGUGGUGGAAAGUUUUUCGGCUGGGGAUGGGCUCGCGGCCUAUCAGCUUGUUGGUGGGGUAAUGGCCUACCAAGGCGACGACGGGUAGCCGGCCUGAGAGGGCGACCGGCCACACUGGGACUGAGACACGGCCCAGACUCCUACGGGAGCAG